UGAGGAAUAUUGGUCAAUGGGCGGGAGCCUGAACCAGCCAAGUCGCGUGAGGGACGACGGUCCUAUGGAUUGUAAACCUCUUUUGUCGGGGAACAACACGCCCACGUGUGGGUUAAUGAGUGUACCCGAAGAAAAAGCAUCGGCUAACUCCGUGCCAGCAGCCGCGGUAAUACGGAGGAUGCGAGCGUUAUCCGGAUUUAUUGGGUUUAAAGGGUGCGUAGGCGGACAGUCAAGUCAGCGGUAAAAAUGCGGUGCUCAACGCCGUACAGCCGUUGAAACUGGCAGUCUCGAGUGGGCGAGAAGUAUGCGGAAUGCGUGGUGUAGCGGUGAAAUGCAUAGAUAUCACGCAGAACUCCGAUUGCGAAGGCAGCAUACCGGCGCCCUACUGACGCUGAGGCACGAAAGCGUGGGUAUCGAACAGG
Molecule: ribosomal RNA, 422 nt
Filed under: uncultured bacterium
Lineage: Bacteria
Description: bacterial SSU rRNA
Rfam family: Bacterial small subunit ribosomal RNA
Source: RNAcentral